AAACGAUACCAAUGUAUCAUGAAAGAGAGUUUAAUACACACUAAUACAAAUGUAGAAUGUGUUUAGAAAAUUUAUAACAACACUAAAGAUCAUAGACUUAAGUAUAUAGAGUAUUUACGAAAAAUUCAAUAUUUUCGUAGGGGUUAACUCAUAGAUUUUGAGAAAAAUUAAAAAAUAUUAAAAUUUUGUUUUAACACACAGUUGCAUCAUUCACUAACAUAUGAUGAAGGUCAAAGAGGUUUGGAACUUUUGUUGUCUCCGUUUUUCUAGAAAAUAGUGAUUUAUUCAAUAUUUUCGUAGGGGUUAAAUCAUAGAUUUUGAGAAAAAUUAAAAAAAUAUUAAAAUUUUGUUUUAACACACAGUUGCAUCCUUCACUAACAUAUGAUGAAGGUCAAAGAGGUUUGGAACUUUUUUUGUCUCCGUUUUUCUAGAAAAUAGUGAUUUUAUAGUGAUUAAUCCACCAAUUUAGGGAGUAUUACGAAACUUUACUAAAUUAAUUGACAAAAAAAAUAAAACAAUGCUCAUGCAUCAUGAAAGAGAGUUUAAUAUACAUUAAUACAAAUGUAGAAUGUGUUUAGAAAAUUUAAAACAACACUAAAGAUCAUAGACUUCAGUAUAUAGAGUAUUUACCGAAAACUUCAAUAUUUUCGUAGG
This 654-nucleotide long non-coding RNA is filed under the name Brassica napus (rape). RNAcentral describes it as "long non-coding RNA (BNAP_LNC025981)". The record is from RNAcentral. Lineage: Eukaryota; Viridiplantae; Streptophyta; Magnoliopsida; Brassicales; Brassicaceae.